UAUAUUUGCAACUUUCAGAAAAGUACAUAAAAAUUAUUAAAAAAUAUUGGCAUG
Molecule: non-coding RNA, 54 nt
Filed under: unclassified sequences
Description: S15-Flavobacteria ribosomal protein leader
Rfam family: S15-Flavobacteria ribosomal protein leader
Source: RNAcentral